RNAcentral lists this ribosomal RNA (545 nucleotides) under Boletus sp. YM3255. Its description in RNAcentral is "eukaryotic LSU rRNA". The stretch from base 226 to 380 matches the Rfam family "5.8S ribosomal RNA". The record is from RNAcentral. Lineage: Eukaryota; Fungi; Basidiomycota; Agaricomycetes; Boletales; Boletaceae.
GACUGUCGCUGGCACUCUGAGUUUAUUUGGAGUGCAUGUGNACGUCUCUCGGCUUGACGUCGACCCUUUUCUCAUCCAUACUCAUUACACCUGUGCACCUUUUGUAGGUCCUCGAAAGAGGAUCUAUGUCUUUAUCACAUCACACCCGUCGUAUGUCUAGAAUGUCAACAUCAUGUAUCGUAGACCGUCGGAAGGCGGUUCGGUCGAUAUAUGAUAAUAAAUUACAACUUUCAGCAAUGGAUCUCUUGGUUCUCGCAUCGAUGAAGAACGCAGCGAAUUGCGAUAAGUAAUGUGAAUUGCAGAUUUCCAGUGAAUCAUCGAAUCUUUGAACGCACCUUGCGCUCCUUGGUAUUCCGAGGAGCAUGCCUGUUUGAGUGUCAUUUAAUUAUCAACCAUGUCUUGAUUGAUUUCGAGCGCAUGGCUUGGAUGUGGGGGUUGCUGGCCGUGAAAGCGGUCGGCUCUCCUUAAAUGCAUUAGCAAAGGGGUGUGCUAUGGUCUUCUGGACGUGCACGGCCUUCGACGUGAUAAUGAUCGUCGUGGCUGGA